UCCCUACAGGUUGUCGAAUUCUGCAAUGUUUGUGUCUUGAGCCAACCAGAGAGUGUGUAGCCGCCCUGCUAGCCAAUCAAGGUUGACAAGAUGGUGAAUUUGACUAUAGGGCAGAACUCGACAGUGUCUUGAAUAGACACCAGAACGAAGGCCUCUCCCAGCUACUUCCAUUCGCUGAUCCCAGUUCCAUGUCCCCUAAAUAAGUCUGCGUUGACUCCAUACUGCGCUUGCGAAUUUCCGAAGCUCGUAGCGCACCACCUGCCGCAAGCAAACGUAACCCAUGGGCAAUAUCUGUAAAACAGACUGCUUUCACUCUUGUCUGGUGCACACAGUCGUGCGGAGGAAAGACCUAAAACACCUCCGCGCGUCCACUUUGGACUGCGAAAGGUGACUUGAGAAAGCGGGCGC
Dermacentor albipictus is the source of this 408-nucleotide long non-coding RNA. RefSeq lists it as uncharacterized. The record is from RefSeq and is a predicted model, not a curated record. Lineage: Eukaryota; Metazoa; Arthropoda; Arachnida; Ixodida; Ixodidae.